Long non-coding RNA from Suricata suricatta (meerkat), 477 nucleotides. RefSeq lists it as uncharacterized. NCBI's taxonomy places the organism in Eukaryota, Metazoa, Chordata, Mammalia, Carnivora, Herpestidae. The transcript has 2 exons. The record is from RefSeq and is a predicted model, not a curated record.
AGAACUGCGGAGAAGGCACACAUCCAUCUUGCUGUCUUUGGACAGCCCAGCCCCUGAAACACUCAGGGCAAUGGAAGGCUUGCUUCUCCGCAAAGUUUGCUAGGCAAGACCACCAACCAUACAACAAGCUUCCCCCACUGGGACCUGAGCCUUAUGCACAGUAGAUACUCUAUAAAUGAUUGUUCAGUGAAUGCCAAGCCCUGUUCUGGGCACUGAAGACUCAAAGGAAUAGAAGAUACCACUCCUGCUUUAUGAAAAUUCACGUGCUAGCAAGGAAGGAAGGACAUAUAAAUAUCUGCAACGCAAUGCGGUAGUAAACGGCAACGAGAGGAAAACACAAUUCCUGACCAUUUGCUGCAUCUUUGAGAUCAGGAACUCUCAACCUGUGUGGGAGUAUGUGCAUGUGUGUGUGCGCGUGUGCAUGGGGAUGAUUGUACACAUGCACCAUAAACCCUUUGGCAAGCUUGGCAGAACCUA